GAUGAACGCUAGCGGCAGGCCUAAUACAUGCAAGUCGUGGGAGAAUGUUGGAUUCGUCUGACAUGAAACCGGCGCACGGGUGCGUAACACGUAUGCAACCUACCUUUAACUGGGGUAUAGCUCAGAGAAAUCUGAAUUAAUCCCCCAUAAGACUACGACAUGGCAUCAUGAUGUAGUUAAAGCUCCGGCGGUUAAGGAUGGGCAUGCGGUACAUUAGCUAGUUGGUGAGGUAAUGGCUCACCAAGGCUACGAUGUAUAGGGGGUCUGAGAGGAUCAUCCCCCACACUGGUACUGAGACAUGGACCAGACUCCUACUGGAGGCAGCAGUAGGGAAUAUUGGUCAAUGGACGCAAGUCUGAACCAUCCAUGCCGCGUGAAGGAUGAAGGCCCUAUGGGUCGUAAACUUCUUUUAUUAGGGAAGAAAAAACGGGAUGCGUCCUGUACUGACGGUACUUAAUGAAUAAGGAUCGGCUAACUUCGUGCCAGCAGCCGCAGUAA
RNAcentral lists this ribosomal RNA (498 nucleotides) under uncultured bacterium. RNAcentral's name for it is "partial 16S ribosomal RNA". It matches the Rfam family "Bacterial small subunit ribosomal RNA", at positions 28 to 523 of the family's 1533-position model. The record is from RNAcentral.